This 253-nucleotide ribosomal RNA is filed under the name uncultured bacterium. Its description in RNAcentral is "partial 16S ribosomal RNA". It matches the Rfam family "Bacterial small subunit ribosomal RNA", at positions 524 to 776 of the family's 1533-position model. The record is from RNAcentral.
UACGAAGGGGGCGAGCGUUGUUCGGAUUUACUGGGCGUAAAGGGCGCGCAGGCGGUCUUGAAAGUCAGGCGUGAAAGCCCCGGGCUUAACCUGGGAAUUGCGCUUGAUACUCUGAGACUGGAGUACGGGAGAGGAGAGUGGAAUUCCCAGUGUAGAGGUGAAAUUCGUAGAUAUUGGGAAGAACACCAGUGGCGAAGGCGGCUCUCUGGACCGUAACUGACGCUGAGGCGCGAAGGCGUGGGGAGCAAACAGG